Molecule: long non-coding RNA, 205 nt
Filed under: Elaeis guineensis (African oil palm)
Lineage: Eukaryota; Viridiplantae; Streptophyta; Magnoliopsida; Arecales; Arecaceae
Description: long non-coding RNA (EGUI_LNC027441)
Source: RNAcentral
AGGCUCAAAUUAAUUCAAAAAUCUUCAUAGAUCGGAUCGGGUUGGAUCAAAAUUUAGUAAAUACAGAUUCAAUCCAAAAAAUGAAAUGGGCACCCCAACCACGAUUUUUUGCAAGUUCUUGAAGUCAGCUUCUGCUCAAACCCAUCAUCUUGGCCAUCAGAAUCACCUCCAACCGCGGGCAUGGGAUUUUAGUAGCAACAGUAGC